AGCAUGUUUGGGAUCCACUACUGGAUGGGUAACAGCAGCUUUGGUGACUGUAUGCUGUCCAUGCCCAAUUAUGCUCUGCUAAAAAUGAACUCUUUGCAGACCAACCUUCUUGAGCUGUCAGUGUUUUCCGUUUUCUUAUUUUAACGUUUGUGUAUAGUGGCAGGCGACAGAUGGUGUAGAUCAGAUCGAUUUGAUUGCAUUAGAUGAUUUUUCCCUCCCCACUCCUUUCUGGAAGCUCGCAUCAGCUGAAGGCUAUCGCCUGGGACUCAGAAGCAUGAGCAAGCCGCCGCCACGCGAAGGCACUGGGGCACAGCCAGCGAAAGGCACCGAGGUCCCUUCCCAGGGCUUGUUAACACAGUAACCCGGCACACGGCGGAAAUCAGCUUUCACUGCCCAAAGCCUAUCCCCAAAACACAUCAGAUGACUCCCUGGCUUUUACACACAGUUGGAGUUCUGCUUGAAACCUGGAUUUAGAGGGGAUCUAUUGCUGGCAGUGACACUCAAUCAAAGUACCAAGAGUGAGUUGAUGGACCACAAGGGGAUAUGAAGUCAAGCAAGUACAGAGGAAGAAAUUAGGAGACCAGCAGAAAUGGAAAUACACCAUCCAUUGGAUUUGUGAAAGAAGCAGCUGAGCAACUCUUUGGAUUCUUCUUUAGGGACAUAGAAUUAUGGAUUUAUUGACCCGAUCAAGUCC
This is a non-coding RNA of Phascolarctos cinereus (koala), 694 nucleotides long. Lineage: Eukaryota; Metazoa; Chordata; Mammalia; Diprotodontia; Phascolarctidae. The record is from RefSeq and is a predicted model, not a curated record.